UAAACCAUGAUUUAUGGCUUACUUUACAGGGAGUCUGGAGGCAUGUGGUUGAUUCAGCAAUUCAGCCAUGUCCAUCUUUGCUCUCCAGUGUCCCCAGCACUCUAGUCUUUCCUCAUGCUUGUCACCUCGUGAGUACCAGAUGCUGCCAAUAUGGCAGGCUCCACAUUUUUUCUUUCAGACAUUGUUUCGUUCUUGUCACCCAGGCUGGAGUGCAAUGGCGUGAUCUCGGCUCACUGCAAUCUCCACCUCCCAGCUUCAAGCAAUUCUCUUGCCUCAGCCUCCCGAUUAGCUGGGAUUACAGACAUGCACCAUCAUGCCCGCUAAUUGGCAGGCUCCACAUUUCUUAUGCCAGCCAUCUCAAAGGGGGUAGGGGGUCAAGGGUUUUCUUUUCAGGAGGGUUUGUAUUCCAUCCAGUUGGGAAACCCUUUCACGUCUCAUGGACCCAGGUUGCAUCACAUGACCCUAGACCAGUCACUGGGGAAGGGGAAUGAGAUUACCGUGACCUGGUUAGAGUGAUCACGUUUCAUCUAAGGAAGUAGGCACGCACGUCCCCUUCAGGAAAUACAGAUAAGCAGGGAUGGGUGAAGUAGUAGCUGUUGGACAGCAAUGAACAGUGCCUAACUCAAGUUUAGUAGACACGAUGCACAAAAUGGAAUAUUUGUAGGUUGUGUAGUAACCCAACUUAUAAUAUUGUUCUUUUGAGAAAAUGUGUUCUUAGCACCAAAGAGAACUUUUGGGAAACAAUACUCGAAUACAAUCCAAAAUGCAUGGAGUGAAAUUCAUACAUUUAUCUUUCAAAGUAUACUUAACAUAAUUCCAUCUUUCUUGGGCCCUUCAGGAGGUAUUCUUAGAAUCUUCUAGUUUGAGAAUCAGAAUCAGGCUGUGCCUGGUGGCCCAUGCCUGUAAUCCCAGUACUUAGGGAGGCCGAGGUGGGCGGAUCACUUGAGGUCAGGAGAUGGGGUUGCAGUGAGCCAAGAUAGUGCCACUGUACUCCAGCCUCGGCAGAGCAAGGUCUUAAAAAAAAAAAAAUCAAAUGUGAACACAGACUGUCAUUAAAAUCAACCCAACAAUCCCAUAGACUGUUUACUAUUUUUUAAAUAAACUUAGAAAUUAUCAUUUCUAGUCUUAAGGUUGAAACUUACCUUUGUUUUAUCUGAGUUCCUUCCUCAGGAAAGGACCUCCAGAGCCUCUCAAAAAGUAUCAAAAAACUGAAACUCACCAUAUCACCGCAUUCCAGACAAUGAGAUGCCAAGCCCCUCAUGCAUCCCCAUAGCUUCCUUCCCCCUCCCGAGUUCCUCUUUUCCCAUACAUUGUUACAUUGCUUCCCUGCAACUGUAUAAACCCUUAAUUUUAGUUGGUCAGGGCAAUGGAUUUGAGACUGAGCUCCCAACUCCCUGAGUGCAGCACCCUACUAAAGCCUUCUUCCUUGGUAAUAAUGGUUGUCUCAGUGAUUUCUGUGAGGGGCCAGCGGGUCCUAGAACAAAACCCUGGUGCUCUGGUGACAUUCUGUUGUAGAUAUUUAGAAGGAUGGUUAACAGAGUUUACCUGUUAAUUUGUUCUGCUAUCCUCACAAAAAGUGGUAUUGCCAGCUGCACAUAAAUAUUUGAUUCAUCCACCCGCCCCCGUUCCCCACCCCCCCGACCCCAGCCAUGAUGGCACAGGGAAACUGAGGUCGCAGGUGAGCAGCAGACCGCGUCUGGACUCCACAUCCCGCGCUCAUCCUGCUCCACGGCAGGAAGCUCGUUCAACACACAUGCACUGCGUGCCCAUGUGGGUGCCAGGCUCCGGCUGUGUCCUGGGCAGGCAAAGGGACCUAGGGAAGAUGCAGGUCCAGUGGGGUGGGAAAGUAGGGGCAGAAAACCAAGAUUCUCACAGCCCUGCAGUGUGGAGUAAGAGAGAACUCAUUACACCUCUUGUCAAGGGAACAAAGGAUCCCCGCCAGGCCCCUCUUGUGCACCCAGCGGUCCCCCCAGGCGCCUUGGAGACCCGGCCGGGCCCGUCGCCGGCCUCCAGCCACAGGCGUCGCUGUGCGCUCGCGCUGGCCCGGGAGCCGCGUUCCGCCGGGAGCAGGCGCUGGCGCAGAGCAGGGGUUUCAGUUUCUGGCGCGAACUUCCGCCGUUCCGAAGUUGCACGGUGAAUUGGCGCUAUGUCUGGGGACAGCAGCGGCCGCGGGCCAGAGGGCCGGAGCCGGGGCCGCAACCCGCAUCGGGAUCGCACCCGCUCCCGCUCCCGCUCGCGGUCCCCUUUGUCGCCAAGGUCCCGCCGCGGCUCUGCGCGGGAGCGCAGAGAGGCCCCAGAGCGCCCGAGCCUGGAGGACACAGAGCCGUCGGAUUCCGGGGACGAGAUGAUGGACCCGGCCAGCUUGGAGGCGGAGGCCGACCAAGGCCUGUGCCGCCAGAUCCGCCAUCAGUACCGGGCGCUCAUCAACUCCGUCCAACAAAACCGUGAGGACAUACUGAAUGCCGGUGACAAAUUAACAGAGGUCCUUGAAGAGGCGAACACUCUGUUUAAUGAAGUGUCCCGAGCAAGAGAAGCAGUCCUGGAUGCCCACUUUCUUGUUUUGGCUUCAGAUUUGGGCAAAGAGAAAGCAAAGCAGCUGCGCUCAGACUUGAGCUCCUUUGACAUGUUAAGAUAUGUUGAAACUCUACUCACACAUAUGGGUGUAAAUCCGCUAGAAGCUGAAGAACUCAUCCAUGAUGAAGAUGGUCCUGAUUUUGAAUUCAUAGUCUAUGACUCCUGGAAGAUAACAGGCAGAACAGCAGAAAACACCUUUAAUAAAACCCAUACAUUCCACUUUCUGUUGGGUUCAAUAUACGGAGAGUGCCCUGUGCCAAAGCCACGAGUUGAUCGUCCAAGGAAAGUUCCUGUGAUACAAGAGGAGAGGGCAAUGCCUGCCCAGUUAAGAAGAAUGGAAGAAUCUCAUCAAGAAGCAACAGAGAAAGAAGUAGAAAGAAUCUUGGGAUUGUUGCAGACAUAUUUUCGAGAAGAUCGAGACAGAGUCUCACUCUUUCGCUCAGACUGGAAUGCAGUGGCACCAUCUCAACUCACUGCAACCUCCACCUCCUGGAUUCAAGCAAUUCUCCUGCCUCAGCCUCCUGAGUAGCUGGGAUUACAGGCGCACGCGCCACCACAUCUGGCUAAUUUUUUUUCUGUAUUUUUAGUAGAGACAUUGUUUCGCCAUGUUGGCCAAGCUAGUCUUGAACCCCUGACCUCAGGUGAUCUGCCAGCAUCGGCCUCCCAGAGUGCUGGGAUUACAGGCGUGAGUGCCAUGCCCAGCUGGAUGAUUAAGUUCUUUAUAGCAUUUUACUCUUGUAUAAAUUGCUGAAGUAAAAAAUCUUAGUAUGUAAUUUUGUGCACUUACACUUGUAUUUCUGUAGCACAGCUUCUUAGAGGUGGUUUCCAGGUCAGUGGGCAUACAUGUUUUUAGUAGAGAUGCCAAAUUGGCCUCCAGAAGGGUUGGAUUGAUUUGCACUCCUGCAGCAGGAUGAGUACACAUCCUUUCUUUGUCUCUGGCUAACGCUAGAGUGUACUGAUAUUAAUGAUAUGCAAAAAUCAAUUUUUUUUUCUCUUUUUGUCUAUAGCUGAUACCCCAAUGUCCUUCUUUGACUUUGUGGUUGAUCCUCAUUCUUUCCCCCGUACAGUGGAAAACAUCUUUCAUGUUUCCUUCAUUAUACGGGAUGGUUUUGCAAGAAUAAGACUUGACCAAGACCGACUGCCAGUAAUAGAGCCUGUUAGUAUUAAUGAAGAAAAUGAGGGAUUUGAACAUAACACACAAGUUAGAAAUCAAGGAAUUAUAGCUUUGAGUUACCGUGACUGGGAGGAGAUUGUGAAGACCUUUGAGAUUUCAGAGCCUGUGAUUACUCCAAGUCAGAGGCAGCAGAAGCCAAGUACUUGAUGCUAGCUGAAGGACUCAAAUGGAUAGUGAAGUCCAAAACGGAAAGCGGCAUGUAUUGUACAUAUUGUAUGAUUCAACAUUUUUAAAGGCAGAUUGUUUUUAGUAAAAUGUAGCUUUUGAUAGUUAAUAAAUUUGUCAUGGUUGUCUUUGAUUAAAGGAAACUCACCGCCAUAUUCACAAA
This is an RNA transcript of Pan troglodytes (chimpanzee), 4076 nucleotides long. It is a transcript of the gene named NSE4 homolog A, SMC5-SMC6 complex component, with no coding region annotated. NCBI's taxonomy places the organism in Eukaryota, Metazoa, Chordata, Mammalia, Primates, Hominidae. The transcript is spliced from 11 exons. The record is from RefSeq and is a predicted model, not a curated record.